GAGUUUGAUCAUGGCUCAGGAUGAACGCUAGCGGCAGGCCUAAUACAUGCAAGUCGAACGGUAAGCGCCCCUCGGGGCGCGAGAGUGGCGCACGGGUGCGUAACGCGUAUGCAACCUGCCCCCGUCAGCGGUAUAGCCCGGAGAAAUCCGAAUUAAUACCGCAUGGUCCCCUGGUCCGGCAUCGGGCUCGGGGUAAAGCCGAGGCGGACGGGGAUGGGCAUGCGUGCCAUUAGAUAGUUGGCGGGGUAAUGGCCCACCAAGUCAGCGAUGGCUAGGGGAUCUGAGAGGACGGUCCCCCACACUGGUACUGAGACACGGACCAGACUCCUACGGGAGGCAGCAGUAAGGGAUAUUGGUCAAUGGGCGGGAGCCUGAACCAGCCAUGCCGCGUGAGGGAAUGA
Molecule: ribosomal RNA, 401 nt
Filed under: uncultured bacterium
Lineage: Bacteria
Description: bacterial SSU rRNA
Rfam family: Bacterial small subunit ribosomal RNA
Source: RNAcentral